AAGUCGUAACAAGGUUUCCGUAGGUGAACCUGCGGAAGGAUCAUUAUCGAGGAAGGGGCCUUCGCGCUCCCGGGGUUUCGGCCCCCAACUCUUCACCCAUUGUCAACUUCACCCUUGUUGCUUUGGCGGAUUCCGGGUAUCGUCUUGCGAUGAGGUUUCGAAUCCAUUAAACCCGUGCGAGAUGUGCCCCGGCAGCCCAGCCCAGGUAAGGCCCAUUUAAAAUCAUGUUUAGCAGUGAUGUCCGAGUAAAAAAACCAAUAAUAAAAA
RNAcentral lists this unclassified non-coding RNA (267 nucleotides) under plant metagenome. Its description in RNAcentral is "partial contains small subunit ribosomal RNA and internal transcribed spacer 1". The stretch from base 1 to 46 matches the Rfam family "Eukaryotic small subunit ribosomal RNA", at positions 1786 to 1831 of the family's 1831-position model. The record is from RNAcentral.